This 87-nucleotide transfer RNA is filed under the name Motiliproteus coralliicola. Its description in RNAcentral is "tRNA-Leu". It matches the Rfam family "tRNA". Rfam says of the family: Transfer RNA (tRNA) molecules are approximately 80 nucleotides in length. Lineage: Bacteria; Pseudomonadati; Pseudomonadota; Gammaproteobacteria; Oceanospirillales; Oceanospirillaceae. The record is from RNAcentral.
GCCGAGGUGGUGGAAUUGGUAGACACGCUAUCUUGAGGGGGUAGUGGCCUUUUGGUCGUGCGGGUUCAAGUCCCGCUCUCGGCACCA